Molecule: long non-coding RNA, 11133 nt
Filed under: Lynx pardinus (Iberian lynx)
Lineage: Eukaryota; Metazoa; Chordata; Mammalia; Carnivora; Felidae
Source: RNAcentral
UGGAAAACAAUUUGACAAUAAAUUUCAUAUAUUGAAAAAAAAAAAAAAAAAUAAAUAAAUAAAUAAUAAAAAAGAAAUAUUAAAGAGGCCACAGUGGAUCCUUAAGGAAUGCUAUCUGAAAAACAAUGGCCUAGGGCAAAUGCUGUCCCAGGGCAGGUUGAAGUAGGGUGGUAGUGGUACACAAAAAAGAGGAAAAAUCCUUUGGCCCCACUUGGGGAAUUCAUGGAAAAAACAUGAUCCUUGUGUGAAGAAAGAGGCUUUGCCACUGAGUCAACUAAGGGUAUGUUGAUUCUGGAAAGCAAAUGAAGGAGGUACUCAAAAUCAUGAUGGAAACACCAAGAAAGAUGGGAAAUGAUGGGCAGGAGAGACUUCCUAGGCUGUGGGCCAGGUUGAAGAAGGCUCCUACAGGGCUGUCCACAAUUUCUAGUAAAUACACCCAGAGCUGAUGGGAGAGAGUGUUUUUCAGGAAUGUCUCAGAUUUUCUACUUUAAACCCUAGGGAAUUUCAGGAAACCCCAAAGAAACCCAGAGGUUGUGACUUUAUAUUUUCUAGGCAAUAAAUAAAUAUUUGUGGCAAAGUGAAAGCAAGCUUACUUGAAAGUUAAGUUUGGGACCAAUAAGAGAUAUAUAAAAAGCAAAACUGAAGUGCCUACUGUAUAUAUAAAGUAGACAACUUGUCCCAGUUUGUCCGGUACUUUCCUGAUUUUAACACUAAAAGUCCUAUCAAUUCUAAGCAAGUUGGGAUGGCUCAUUAUCCUAAUACAUAUCUAAUGCUGUGAGUCUUUCAGGAGUACAGAUACAUAUGCAAUGUAUGCUGCCUCAAUAGAUUAUUGUGUAGUCAUCCGUGACAUAAUAUGGCAACACAGAAAACUGAGCAAGUAACACAAUAAUAAUUAAAGGUUAAAGUUCUUUGACAUCAUGAUAUAGAUGCUGAAAAAAUGGAAAAAACUGAAAAUAAAAAUAGCCAAUAAUUACUGAAUAAUUUUCACAUGCCAAAGACAAUCUAAAGAUUUAUAUGCAUAUUAACUCACUUCAUCUUCAUAAUAAUGCUAUGAAGUCAGUACAGCCAUCAGCUCCAUUUUACACAUGAAGAAACUGAGGCACAAAUAAUUUCUAGCCAAGGUCACAUGUUUCAUAUGAUAGAACCAAGAUUAAAAUCUUUCCUGGUUUCAGAGCCCAAGCUCAAACCAUUACACUAUUAUGUCAGAUGAAGAAGGGCCUUGGCUUGCCACACUGAGAUGUUUUACCCCAAAGGCAGUAGGAAGCCACUGAACAGUUUUAAGCAGAAGACAGAUGUGAUGGGUGUAUAGUGUAUAGAGACAUUACCCCACCUCUAUACAGAGUGAAGGCAGAAGCCUAAGGAUGGGCAGGACUCAGUAGAGAAGGAAGAGGACUUCUCAUUGACAGGACCCACUUUUCUUUAUGCCCAUGGUACUCUAUGUUUAUCCCAUUCCAUAGCCAUUUUCAGGCUCACAUGUAACAAUGUGCUUCCAUGGGUAUCUUCCUACUGGUCUGUGAGCUCCUUAAAUGUAGGUUCCAUGUUUCAUUCAUCUUUGGUUCUUCAUGCCAGGAGCUGUGGCUGGUAUACUAUAGGCACUUAUUAAAUGUUUGCUGAAUAAACAAGGCACAAAGAUGGGAAUGAGCAUGGUAUGUUUGAUAAGUUGAGUCAACCUGAACAAAUUAGACAAUGGUAGGAAAUCAUACUGGAUAGGCUGAGAAGACCUACAGAACACAUUUAUAAAGAGAAAGGGAUAAUAAAGACAUGUGGGAGGGCAAUGGGGUCAAUGCUAAAAGCUGCGCUCUUUGCUUUACCUGCUGCUCAGGCUUCCUCCCUGUCGCUACCAGAAAGAGGUUCUAAAAUUCAGAUCCAGUCACACCUCUCCUCUUAAAACUGUUCAGUGGCUUCCCAUUGCCUUUGGGGUAAAAUGCCUUAGCAUGGCAUGCAAGGCCCUUCUUCAUAUGAUGCUUGCUUUUUCUCUUCAGCUUCAACUCACAUUUCUCCCCCUACAGCCUAUGAAAUAAAUUGUUUAGACUUCCAGAACUCAUUGCACGGAAUCCUGCCCCUAUUCUUAUGGUUGGGAUGUUUUCCUCCUUUCUUUUUUACAUGAUCAACUCUUACCCUUUAAGACCCAGACCAGGCACCACUUCUUCCGGGAAGCCCACCCUCACCUCCACUUCUCACCCAAGGUUGGCUUAGAUGUGCUCCUCUGAGCUCCCAGAGUGAUCUGUGCCAACCUGCCAUACUCUAAUGCAAAUGUUUGCCUUUCCCGUCUGCUUAGGGGCAAAUAAUGUCUUUCAUCUCGUUCCUUUAGUGCCUGGCACCAAGUAAAUACUCCAUAAAUAUUUAACGAAUUAAUUAAUAUAUUAAAGAGUACAUCACUCCCCAUUAAUCCUAAUAUUCAAUCCUUGGCUCUCAUCAACUACUUGGUAUAAGACCUUACAUGCUAUAAUUCAUAUUCAAUGUUCAACACCAUUUGGUUUAUCCUACCUCUUGGCACAGUCUUGAAAUAGAAAUGUGCUUAGAGAAUAUCAACUGGAGUAUUACCAAAGCACUGUAUUGAUGCCUAUCAUCACCCCAAAUUGGAGCAUGGAUCACGACAGGCUUCUGUUCACCUUCUGACCAAAUAAACAGCAGUUUCUGCCCCAAGGCCAGAGUUGGACUUCACUGUGAGUACAGUUCCUGGGCAUUCUUUGGUUUCCCAGCUGCAUAGCCUCUGCCUUGUACUUGACCCCUUAUCAACAUUACCCAACUGAUAUGCCAAAAAUGGGUUCUAAGAGCUGGGUUAUUAAUCCUUCAGCCUUUGGGGCUUUCAAGCAAGGCCUGUGAUAGUCCUGAGUCAGACAUUUGGGACACAGAUAUAGUUGCAGUUUCUGUCCUUCUCUCCCCAGUCCCUAUGUCAACCAGGUAAAAUACCCUAGAUAAUUCAGGCCUUCAGUCUACCUUCCACUCCCUCUGCUGCAGUCCUGGCCCAUUAUUUUUUUUUUGCUUUCUCCUCAUGGAAGAAACAGAAACUUCUAGGAUAACUUAUCUCUGAAAACAGAGGCAUCCCCAAAACACAGGUAUGGUUUCAGUUUCCCUGGGCUGAAGCAGAAGGGCAAGUGGCAGGGAGUGGAAGAGACAGUGAAAAUAAACACCUAUAGCAUCAAGAGUUCAUUUCCUUGGUAACAUGAAGUUAGCACUCUUGGCUGUAUGCUCUGGGGAUGAGAAGGAUGAGGCCCAGGAAGCACUUUCACUAUUCAAAAGAGGCGGUAUGGACUGGAGAAUGUGACUACCAGAAGACCAGGAGAGAAUUUCUUUUCCGAUGAUUAUUUUUCCAGGCUGGUAUAGCUGGAACCCAUGGGCAGUUAGAGGAAAGGAGCAAAUGAGGGAAAGAGAGACAUGCAAGUACAGGCAUCGGGGAAGAUACAGACUUAACUCUAGUUUUGACAAUAGUGAAUGGCAGACAAAUCAAGGUGAUGCCUAAAAUUUUACAUUUGAAUACUACUUUAAAGUUGACAAUAAAUUUCUUUCACCUUCUUCCCUUACACAGUCUGGGGGCAGGUAUGCAGGGAAUGCAUCUGGGGGUAAAGAACCACCUGAAAGAAUGAAAGGUAAGGGCACCCAGUAUUCACACAGGGCUGGAAUGGUACCCCUUUCCACCAGUCACACUGGAAAACCUCAUGAAUCACAGGAUAUUAGGUAGAGUACUCAGAAGAGUCUUGCCUCAGCAGGGGUAAAUAGUUAGCCUUAGACCAAGCACUGCUCUGGUCCUGCCUAAUAAAUUUUAUAAGAAAGACCUAAAAAGACCAAACUUUUUUCAAGUAACUUAACUGUGUCCCAAGACAAAGCCUAAGAAUAUUUAUAGGGGGGCACCUGGAUGGUUCAGUCAGUUAAGGGUCCAACUUUGGCUCAGGUCAUGAUCUAACGGUUCAUGAGUCCGAGCCCCGCAUUGGGCUCUCUACUGUCUGCAGGGAGCCUGCUUUGGAUCCUCUGUUUUCCUCUUCCUCUGCCCUUCCCCUGCUUGUUCUCUCUCAAAAAUAAAUAAAAAUUAAAAAAAAAUUUAAGCAUACUUAUAGGAGUAUAGAAAUAUUCAGCAACCAGCAAGGUAAAAUUCACAGUGUCUGGCAUCUAAUAAAAAACUACCAGAUAUACAAAGGAUCAGGAAAAUAUAACCUAUGAUGAAGACAAAAAGCAAUCAAAACUGACCCAUAACUGCCAUAGAUGUUAAAAAUAGUAGACAAGGUUUUUUUAAAUGGCUAUUGUAACUGUAUUUCAUAUGUUCAAAAGUUAAGUAGAGAAACAUAAGACAUAAAGAAAAAAAAAGAUCUUGCACUUCAAAAGAUGAAAAAUAUACUGGGUUGUAUCAAAAGUAGGUUAAACACUGCAGAAGAAAAGAUUACUGAACUCAAAAACACAGCAAUAUAGAAACUGUUCAAAUUGAAAUGCUGACAGAAAAAUAAUUUUUUAAAAUGAAGCCUCAGUGAGCUGUUGGGACAACUUUAAUAAAGCUAAUACCCAUGUAAUUGAAAUCCCUAAAGGAGAGUAUGGGGAGUAGAAAAGAUAUAAAAGAUUUAAAGAAAUAAUGGCCAAAAAAUUUCCAAACAUCCACAGAUACAAGAAACUAAACUCAACCCAAGAAACCCAAAGAAAAUUACACCAAGGUACAUAAAAGUUGAAUCAAACCAAGUGGGGAAAAAACAGAGAAAAGGAAAUCUUAAAAGGGGCCAGAGGAAAAAAAGACGUGCUACACACACACACACCAAAUAUAAAGAUUGACAGCAGACUCCUCAUCAGAAGAAUACAAGCCAGAAAAUAGCAGAGCAAUAUCUUUAAAGUACUGAAAGAGAAAAAUUUAGUCAGCUUAGAAUUCUUAUGCCCAGUACAAAUAUUUGUCCAAAAAAAGUGAAAAUAAAGACAUAUUAAGACAUACAAAUCUGAAAAAAUUCUUCACCAGCAGACUUACAUGACAAAAAAAUGUUAAAGGAAGUCCCUCAGGAAGAAGGAAAAUGGUAUCGGAUGGAAAUACAGAUCCACACACAGGAAUGAAGAACGUUAGAAAUGUUAACUGUAUGGGGAAAAAAUGUAAGUUUUUCUUAUUAUUUAAAUCUCUUUAAAAGAUAACAAUUUAGGGGUGCCUGGGUGGCUCAGUUGGUUAAGUGUCUGACUCUUGGUUUCAGCUCAGGUCAUGAUCACACAGUUUGUGGGUUCCAGUCCCUUGUCGGGAUCUGUGCUGCUGGUGUGGAGCCUACUAUUCUCCCAUUCUCUCUCUCUCUCUCUCUCUCUCUCUCAAUCUCUCUCUGCCCCCUCCCCCACUCACGCGCAUGCGUGCAUGCUCUCUCUCUCUCUCUCUCCCCCUCUCUCUCUCAAAAUAAAUAAAUAAAACUUAAAAAAAACAUAAUACAAACAUGUAUUAGUGUAGCAUGGGGUUUACAGCACAUGCAUAAGUAAAACAUAUGACAACAAUAGCACAAAGGUCACAAAGGGAGAAAUGGAAGUGUACUAUACUAUUGUAAGGUUCUUAUACUAUAUGUAAAGUGGCAAAACAUCAUUUGAAGGUGAACUGUAAUAAUUGAAGUCACAUAUUACAAACAACCCUAAAGCCACCAUUAAAGUAAAAAAAUAAAGAGUUACAGCUAAGAAGCCAACAAAGAGAUAAAAUGGAAUCAUAAAAAAUUAUUCACUUCUCAUCAUGAUAAGUGUACUCUUUAAUCCCCCUCAUCUAUUUUCCCCAUCCCCCCCACCCACCUCUCCUCUGGUAACAGUUUGUUCUCUACAGUUAAAAGUCUGUUUCUUGGUUUCUCUACAUCUUUAUUUCUUUUUUUUUCUUUCCUUGUUUGUUUUGUUUCUUAAAUUCCACAUAUGUGUGAAAUCAUAUGGUAUUUGUCUUUCUCUGACUGGCUUAUUUCACUUAGCAUUAUACUCUCUAGUUCUACACUAAAAGGAUGUUACUGCUUUCCAGGAGAUACUGAGGUUGGAGUGACUGCUAAUGGGCACAGAGUUUCUUUUGGGGGUGAUGAAAUUGUUCCAAAAUUAACUGUGGUGAUAUUUGCAUAACUCUGUGAAUACACUUGCAACCAUGGAAUUGUAUACUUUAAAAGGGUGAAUUGUGGGGCACAUCGGCGGCUCAGUUGGUUAAGCGUCCAACUCUUGAUUUUGGCUCAAGUCAUGAUCUCAUGGUUCAUGAGAUCGAGCUCUGUGAUGGGCUCUAUGCUGACAGCACAGAGUCUGCUUGAGAUUUUCUCUCUCCCUCUGUCUCUGCCCCUCCUCUACUUAUGGUCUCUCUCUCUCUGAAAAUAAAUAAAUGCACUUAAAAAUAAAUAAAAGGGUGAAUGGUAUGUAUGUGGAUUAUAUCUCAAUAAAUCUGGGGGUUUUUUAAGGAAAAAAAUAUUCAAUUAACCCAAAACAGGAAGAAAAAGGAAGAGAGAAAUAAUUGAGAAUAGAUGAAACAAAAUGGAAAAAAUAUAACAAGACAAUAGACAAACAUAUCAAUAGUCACAUUAAAUAUAAGUUAUCUAAACACUACAAUCAAAAGGCAGAGAUUGUCAGGUUGGCAAUCCCCAACUAUAUGUUGUCUACAAGGAAUGCACUUCAAAUGUAAAGACACAAAUAAGUUAAAAGUAAAAGGGUGGAAAAAAUAUAGCAUAAUAACACUAAUCGAAAGAAACUGGGGUGACUUUAUUAAUAUCAGACAUAGUAGAUUUCAUUGCAAAUCAUAUUACUGGGGAAAAAGAAAUUCAUUUCAUAAUGAUAAAGGGGUCAAUUCAUCAAAAGGACAUCAUAAUCCCAAACAUAUAUGCACCUACUAACAAAGCUUUAAAAUACAUGAAGCAAAAACUGAUACACUUUCAAGGAGAAGCAGACAAAUCCACAAUUACAAUCAGACAUUUAAUGUCCCUCUCCCAAUAAUUAAACAGAACAAGUAGAAAGGAAAUUAGUAAGGAUAUAGGAGAUUUGAAGACUUGACCUAACUGAUCUGACAUUUAUUAACACUCCACCCAACAAGAAAAAAAUGCAUAUUCUUUUCAAGUGCUCACAGAACAUUUACCAAGAUAAACCAUAUUCUGGGCUAAUAAGCAAGUCUCAAAAAAUUCAAAAGGAUAUAGUCAUACAAAAUAUCUUCUCUGAUCAUAACACAAUUAAAUUAUAAAUCAAUGAUAGAAAUAUCACUGGAAAAUCCCCAAAGAGUUGGAAACUAAAGAACAUACUUUUAAAUAAUUUAUGGGUCAAAGAAGGCAGUAUAAGUUUAUCAGGUACCUACAGGUGUUCUAGGCAUUGUAUUAGUCUCAAUAUACAUUAGCUCUAAGCUUCAGGAUACUGUAAGAUGGGCAUUAUUAAUUACAUUUUUCAAAUGAGAAAACUGAGGCUCAGAAAGAUAAAGUAACAUGUUUGAAGUAUGUUACAUGGCUAGACAAUGGCAAGUCAUGUCUCUGAAUAUAACCUCCAGGACUUUUCAUGAAACCAUGUACCUCUCUAAGACUCAGUGUAAAACUCUACUUCUUCUGCUUCUCUGCUACUUUGCAUUAUAUUUGUUCUUGUGCCUUUGAUUUUUAAAAUAUGAUGUUGUAAUUAUUCUUUUGAAACUAUUUUUUGUUUUGUUUUGUUUUAUUUUGUUUUGUUUUGUUUUAUUUUAUUUUGUUUUGUUUUGUAAUACACUUUCAAAGUGUACAUGGUGACUUCCAGAGAGAAUUACAUUCUCCUUGAAGGAAAGAGUCCUAUAUAACUCAUUUUUUCUAUUCCAACUACUCAUAAAUGUUCCUCUUAGGCACAGUGCUCUCCUUUAAACAGGUACUAAACCCCAAAGCUGUGCAGCCCAGCUCUUGUCAGUAGUAAUGGUUGGAAAUGGACAUUUACCAUAUCUCCUAAUGUAGGUAGUCCCCAGUUUAAAAAUGAGUAAUGACCUAAAAGUUUCUUUGUAAACCUCUUAUUUAGAACAGAGAAUAUAUUUUCCAUGUAAAUGGGAGUUAGAUUCCCAGGAUAAAAAUAAAGAAAUUCAGUUGUGCACAUAAUGUGCUUAAAAUUUGGUACUAACAUUGUACAUCAUGUACAAUUAGCCAACAUUUAUAACUAGGGUGAUACAGGAAAAUACUUUUUAGUUUUCAUCCUGGAGCACCAGGCACAUAUUUCUUCUCCACUUGCUGGUACUCACAGGGGAGGAAUGGGAUGGACUCUGGCAAUGGUAAAGUGGUCUUUGGCUGGAAGCAGUAGGAAAAAAGGAGGAAACUACUUCUUGGAACCAGUGAUGGGUUAGCCCACCACAUUACACCUGCUAGAAGGACAUCUUCCUAUGGCUUCCCAAAUAAGGCAACAAACACUAGUUGCCUUCAUUAAGGCAAUUUGUAUGUCCAAACAAGGAAUGUCUAAUGAACAUUCCUAAUCAGAUGCUCCUUAAAGUGGAGACUAUCUGUACAAAUACUCAGUCUAAUAAUUGGGACUAAUACCAGAAUAACUACUAUAGAUGCCAAUAUCUCCCAACACAAUAGUUUGGGUGUUGAGAUUAUCUCUGACUGAAUCACACUUAUGUACACAGUCACCACCAUGUCCCAACAUGUUCCUCUCUAUAUCUGGAACGCUUUAGCACCUUUUCCUAUUAACAAUAAAUGGUAUAUUUUCAGAACUCCAUAUUUUUUAAGUAAAUUUUUUAAGUAAAGUGUUAUUUUUCUAGAGUCUAAUUUUUAUGUGUUUAAGAAUGUACCUAGGUCUAGGAAUUCUGAGAAAGGAAUAUCAGCUAUUUUUCACUAGGGUGUUUGUUCUCUCUUACUGAUUCCUUCUCUCUCCUUCUAUUUUGCACCAGCUGUAUUCAUUUACAUGUUAUACUUUAAAGAAACUUUGAUGUAUUUCCUCUCAGCUGCAGGUUGGAAGCUGAAUAUCUAGUUACUUGCAGGCAAGAGAGCAAAAGAAGCAAUGAAAAUUAACUGUUAGCAAAUUAUCUAUUUAAUAGAACAACAACAACAACAACACAAAACAACUUGUUUCUGGACCAAAAGGCAGGGCAAUCCUAGAGGUUGCCAAUACAGGUUGGACAGAAAACAUCAGGUCCAGCUUCUAAGAAAGGACUGGUCAAGAUUCCAGAAAAUGUGGCCACACCUACUAGGCUGAGACAGAAAGCAAGAAAGGACUUUGUCUCUGCCCCUCCCCACCUAUGCCUCCAACACAGGGAGAAUAGUUGAAGGUAGAGACAGGACUGUAGGCAGGCCUGGGAGAGGCAAGACUGGUACUUAGCCUGAACACAAAGAAGAGCAAAUAUGAAGGGGACUCGAGGCCAGAAAUUGUCCCAGAACUCCAGCCUGGGGCAAAGUAGAGGGUCCCAGGGAACUGAGCAAUCAGAAGAUCAAAACCAGGAGAAUGCCCUAAAGACACAAAGCUCUGAAGACAGAGAAGGGAAGCAUUUAAUCCUCUUCCUGCUAACAGGCCCCAGAUGCAGUUAGCUGGCAUCCACAUUGCUGCUGGUAAGCAACCCACCACUCCCAGAAUUUGAUAACACUGUCUCCACCCUGGCCACACUUCCCCACCCCCUUUCCCUUCACUCUACUCAAACUGGCAAAAUAAUGAAGGGGAGCAUGUAAGCACAACAGGAGAAUGUGGACAAAAAUAUUUGAAAAGUGAACAAGGUAGACCUAAGUGUUCAGAAGUGGAUACAUGGAUUGCCCAGCCACCCUGGCCCUGUAAAAGUUCAUUCUCAUGCGGACAUCUUACAGCCAAGGAAACAAGCAGUUGGUGAGAUAGCAUCCCCACAGAACGAAGAUGAAUAGGGCCACCUGCUGCAGGGUUUGGCAGCUAAAGACAUCUUGGGGGGGGGGGUGUACCCAAAGUAAUGUUCUCUCUCAGAAAAUAUAACUUUGCAGUGUUGCUGUUUUUCCUGUUUUUCAUGUUCUAUGUUUGGCUGCCAGUGGGAGGCAGUGGGUGUGAGAGGGAGAAGGAAGGGCUCUGAGAAGACAAGACAGUUGGCUUGAAAAUACUGCUGAAAACCUGUGGGCUUGGGGAUUUACUUUUUUCUUCUGUCCCCAUCCUGAAGGGGAUAGACAGGGAAAGGCUGGGCCUGACCCAGGGAAAUGGGGGUCAGAUAAUGGGUUAACAAAGCAGAGGCUCUGACCCACCUACACUUCUGCUUCAGCCCAGUUAGUAUAGUGCCCCUUCAUGUCCUUCCUUCCUCUUGGUCACAUACAGCCCUGUGGAUCGCAGCUGCCCAUGUCUGUACAGAUCUACAAGAGGCCCACAGCCUCUGAUGCAAGAGCAGAGGUCACUGACCCUCUUGACUGAUGGUGUUCCUGUUCACUUUCCAUCUUUGUAGAUCCUGGACCGCUCCUACCUGCCCUAUUCUUACCUUGACCUACCUCCUUGGGUUUGAUCUACAGAUUAUAUGGAAAGUGUUUCUCAACAGUAGCACUAUUAACAUUUUGGGCCAGAUAAUUCUUUGUUUGGGAGGCUGCCACAGGUUGAAUUCUGUUCCUCCAAAAAGAUUAUGUCGAAGCCUUAAUCUCUAGUACCUGAGAAUGUGACCAUCUUUUGGAAAUAGUGUCAUUGCAGAUGUAAUUUGUUAAGAUGAGGUCAUAUUGAAACUGGGUGGGCUUUAAUCCAAUAUGACUGGUAGCCUUAUAAAAAAUGGUCUGUGGCCUUGGAAACCGUUCUUAUUAAGAUGGUCCAAAAGUGAAGGAAGAGGCCCCUGCCCCCAAGCCAAAGCCAAAGCAAAGGCUUUGAAACCUAAGAAAGCAGUGCCGAAAGGUAUCCAUUGUCACACAAAAAAAGAUCUGCAUGUCACCUACCUUCUGAAGACCAAGACACUGUCUCCAAAAGCAGCCCAUAUAACCUUGAAAGAAGGCCCUCAGGAGAAACAAGCUUGACCACUAUGCCAUCAAGUUCCCUCUAACUACCCACUCAGCCAUGAAGAAAACAGAAAACAACAGCACACUUGUGUUCACCUGGAUGUCAAGGUCAACCAGCACCAGAUCAAACAGGCUAUGAGGAAGUUCUAUGACAUUGAGGUGACCAAGGUCAACACCCUGAUCAGGUCUGAUGGAAAGAAGAAGGCAUAUGUUUGGCUCCUGACUAUGAUGUUUGGAUGUUGCCAACAAAAUUGGGAUCAUCUAAGUUGAGUCCAGCUGGCUAAUUCUAAAUAUAAAUUUUUUCACCAUAGGAAAAAAAAAAAAGAUGGCCAUG